AUGGAGGAUGAAAGUACUUUCCAUGCCCUUGUGUCUUGUCCAAAGGUGUGUGUGUUCCGUUUCGCUAUGAGAGAAGAGUGGAUUAUUCCUGCCGAGGAGCUUUUCAGAUUUACGGGGCCGGACUGGAUGCUUAUUCUGCUUGAUCAAUUAGGGUCGCCAAAACAUGAUCAAGUUUUAUUCAUGCUUUGGAGAGCUUGGCCUCUCAGAAAUGAUAUGAUCUUCGGGAAGAGGAAAGAAUCCUUACGUGCUUCUAUCGCUUUUGUGGGAAAUUACUGGAAAUCCUUCACAAAUGUCAAAAACAGUGCGCAAGUUGACUUAAGCAUCAAAGAUAAGGGGGUGAUUGAUAAUGGGGGGUACAUCACACCAAUCGCGAAGGCUCAUCGUAAUUGGGAGCCACCGGACCAAGGGUAUAUUAAGAUAAACGUUGAUACUAGGUUUGUGGAGAGCAUGAGAUUUGCCAGCAUUGGGAUAAUUGCCAGGAAUCACCUAGGCGAAGUCCUGGUUUCCUCAUGGGAUUUUAUCGGGUCGUGCACUUGUGUGGAUGAAGCAGAAUUUCGUGCGGCGCUUGCUGGGUUAUAUAUUGGUAUUGCAUUCCAAAGUCCUGUUAUUUUGAAGACUGACAGCGUGACUAUUGCUUUUUCUCUGGCAAAAGAUUCUUUUGACAGGUCUCCUUUUGUGGACCUGAAAAAGGAGGCGAUGAGUGUCUCAAAUUUCAUUAAGGAUUUCAAGAUAGUGAAGAUUGAUAGGCAGGCAAAUAGGAUAGUGCAUGAGAUUGUUAAAUUUUGUUUUGAUAGUAGGUCAGAUGGUGUUUUAUGUAAUAGUGUUCCAUCCUGCGUGGCUAUCUUUGGAAUGAAUGAUUGUAAGAAUUUUGUUAUUUCUAAUUAA
Molecule: ribosomal RNA, 885 nt
Filed under: Triticum aestivum (bread wheat)
Lineage: Eukaryota; Viridiplantae; Streptophyta; Magnoliopsida; Poales; Poaceae
Description: partial small subunit ribosomal RNA
Source: RNAcentral